UGAUAGUACCACAAGUCUUCGGAUGAGUGGAUAGUGAUCCUAAUCAGACUGUCGAGAAAACCCGCUAGCUUAAGUUGCAAAAAACCGUACCUCAAACCGACACAGGUGGUCGAGAAGAAUAUUCUAAGGUGCUCGAGUGAAUCACGGUUAAGGAACUCGGCAAAUUAACCCCGUAACUUCGGAAAAAGGGGUGCCCCUAGCAAUAGGGGCCGCAGAGAAAUGGCUCAGGCGACUGUUUAUCAAAAACACAUGGCUAUGCAAAAUCGAAAGAUAACGUAUAUGGCCUGACACCUGCCCGGUGCCGGAAGGUUAAGAGGGGAUGUUAGCAGCAAUGCGAAGCAUUGAAUCGAAGCCCCGGUAAACGGCGGCCGUAACAAUAACGGUCCUAAGGUAGCGAAAUUCCUUGUCGGGUAAGUUCCGACCUGCACGAAUGGUGUAACGAUCUGAGCACUGUCUCAACCGUGAGCUCGGUGAAAUUGUGGUAUCGGUGAAGACGCCGGUUAAUCGCAUCGGGACGGAAAGACCCCGUGCACCUUUACUAUAGCUUUGCAUUGACUUUGGGUAAAUAAUGUGUAGGAUAGGCGGGAGACUUUGAAGCGGUGUCGCUAGGCAUCGUGGAGUCAACCUUGAAAUACCGCCCUUUGUUUACUUGGAGUCUAACCCUGCUAAGCGGGGGACAUUGCAUGGUGGGUAGUUUGACUGGGGUGGUCGCCUCCAAAAAAGUAUCGGAGGCUUCUAAAGGUCUGCUCAGCACGCUUGGUAACCGUGCGAAGAGUGCAAUAGCAUAAGCAGGCUUGACUGUGAGGCCAACAAGCCGAGCAGGUACGAAAGUAGAGUAUAGUGAUCCGGCGGUUCUGUAUGGAAGGGCCGUCGCUCAUAGGAUAAAAGGUACGCCCGGGAUAACAGGCUGAUCUCCCCCAAGAGCUCAUAUCGACGGGGAGGUUUGGCACCUCGAUGUCGGCUCGUCACAUCCUGGGGCUGGAGAAGGUCCCAAGGGUUCGGCUGUUCGCCGAUUAAAGUGGCACGCGAGCUGGGUUCAGAACGUCGUGAGACAGUUCGGUCCCUAUCUGAUGUGAUCGUUGGAAGUUUGAGAGGAUCUGACCUUAGUACGAGAGGACCGGGUCGGACGUACCUCUGGUGUAUCUGUUGUGGCGCCAGCUGCAUCGCAGAGUAGCUAUGUACGGACAAGAUAAGCGCUGAAAGCAUCUAAGCACGAAACUUACCUCAAGAUGAGACUUCCUUUAAGAGUCGUAGAAGACUACUACGUUGAUAGGUUGCAGAUGUAAAGAUGGUAACAUCAAAGUCGAGCAAUACUAAUUACUC
This 1323-nucleotide ribosomal RNA is filed under the name metagenome. Its description in RNAcentral is "bacterial LSU rRNA". It matches the Rfam family "Bacterial large subunit ribosomal RNA", at positions 1557 to 2910 of the family's 2925-position model. The record is from RNAcentral.